CGGUUUGGGUGGCGGACGGGUGAGUAACGCGUAAAGAACUUGCCUCACAGAUAGGGACAACAUUUGGAAACGAAUGCUAAUACCUGAUAUUAUGAUUUUAAGGCAUCCUAGAAUUAUGAAAGCUAUAUGCGCUGUGAGAGAGCUUUGCGUCCCAUUAGCUAGUUAGAGAGGUAACGGCUCACCAAGGCGAUGAUGGGUAGCCGGCCUGAGAGGGUGAUCGGCCACAAGGGGACUGAGACACGGCCCUUACUCCUACGGGAGGCAGCAGUGGGGAAUAUUGGACAAUGGACCAAGAGUCUGAUCCAGCAAUUCUGUGUGCACGAUGAAGUUUUUCGGAAUGUAAAGUGCUUUCAGUCGGGAAGAAAAAAAUGACGGUACCAACAGAAGAAGUGACGGCUAAAUACGUGCCAGCAGCCGCGGUAAUACGUAUGUCACAAGCGUUAUCCGGAUUUAUUGGGCGUAAAGCGCGUCUAGGUGGUUAUGUAAGUCUGAUGUGAAAAUGCAGGGCUCAACUCUGUAUUGCGUUGGAAACUGUGUAACUAGAGUACUGGAGAGGUAAGCGGAACUACAAGUGUAGAGGUGAAAUUCGUAGAUAUUUGUAGGAAUGCCGAUGGGGAAGCCAGCUUACUGGACAGAUACUGACGCUGAAGCGCGAAAGCGUGGGUAGCAAACAGGAUUAGAUAUCCUGGUAGUCCACGCCGUAAACGAUGAUUACUAGGUGUUGGGGGUC
Molecule: ribosomal RNA, 730 nt
Filed under: uncultured Fusobacterium sp.
Lineage: Bacteria; Fusobacteriati; Fusobacteriota; Fusobacteriia; Fusobacteriales; Fusobacteriaceae
Description: bacterial SSU rRNA
Rfam family: Bacterial small subunit ribosomal RNA
Source: RNAcentral